GUCCUCUGCUAACCGUUCACCUCCACUUUCUCUUUCUAUACAUACAAUACACAACACACACACACACGCGGGUAUCUAUUCAUAUUAUAUAUAUAUAUAUAUUCUGGCAAUAUAUAUAUAUAUAUAUCGAGAGAGAGAGUUAAGGUGGUGAUGGGCAUAAGAGCUUUUCAACUUCCUGCCUUUGCAGUUCUUUCUCUCUCUUAUUGAUUACACAUUGUCACUGUUAUAGUUGUUGAGCAGCUACAAGAUAGAGAAAGUGCUACAAGGAAAAAGACUACAAUUGUUUUUAAAAUUCAAUUUUUUUUUGUGUGUGUGUGUAUAUAUAUUCUAGAGAGAGAGAGAGAGUAUUUUGUUUUGUAGAAAGAGAGCAAGAUAUUUGGAUGGGGACUUCAGGGCAGGGGCAGAGCAACUACGAUCUCUCGUUCAAGAUCUUGCUCAUCGGAGAUUCCGCUGUCGGCAAGAGCAGCCUGCUCGUCAGUUUCAUUUCUAACGUAGUUGACGAUCUCUCCCCAACGAUAGGUGUGGAUUUUAAGAUCAAGUUUCUCGCAGUUGGUGGGAAGAGAUUGAAGCUGACAAUUUGGGACACAGCUGGACAAGAGAGGUUCAGGACGUUAACCAGCUCAUACUAUAGAGGUGCACAGGGGAUCAUUCUUGUUUAUGAUGUAACAAGGAGAAAUUCAUUUACAAACUUAUCUGAUGUAUGGGCAAAAGAACUGGAACUGUACUCCACUAAUCAGGAUUGCAUCAAGAUGCUCGUUGGAAACAAAGUCGAUAGAGAAUCUGAACGAGUUGUCAGUAGGGAAGAGGGGCUGGCCCUGGCAAAAGAGCUUGGAUGUCUAUUUUAUGAAUGUAGUGCUAAAACUCGAGAAAAUGUGGAGCAAUGUUUUGAAGAGCUCGCGCUGAAGGUAGAUAAAUGCAUUAAUAUCGGUUUUCUAUAAAGAAUUCAGCUACAUCAUUGAGUAUUUGACAGAUAUAGUGAAAGACGGUUUUAAAGAUGGAGUCCUGUCUUUGAUUAUGGAGGUGCCAAGACUACUUGAAGAAGGAUCGACAGUUGUUAAGAGGAACAUCUUAAAACAGAAGCAAGAACACCAGACCCCUCCCAGCGGUGGUUGUUGCUCGUAGAAAACUGCAGUAGAAGCUCAAUGGCAAUUGUCAAACAGCGAAUCACAUGCUCCUCUGAUGGCGAAUUCUCCUUUAACGUUUCAUGUUCAAUAUGUGUAAAUGAUGAUUUCUUUUGUUUUCUCAAUGCUGCUGUCGUGCUGGAGCCGCUCUAGGUGCAUGCGUUGCUUUGCUACUGUUAUCAUUAGUAGCUCGUGUAAAGUUGUUGGCCGGUUUGGUGUUCUGAUCUCCAUAAUUUGCUGAGAAUCCACCUAAUUUGAUGGAAAACAGCACGCUUUAUCUGAUCUAAUAUUGGCUUUUACAAUGUAUUCUCUGCUUCUUGCAUCCUCGAAAACCUUAAUUCCAUCUUUCUAUGUCAGUGGUUGAAGUGCCAUAAUAUUUAUCUGGA
Sesamum indicum (sesame) is the source of this 1507-nucleotide RNA transcript. It is a transcript of the gene named ras-related protein RABC2a, with no coding region annotated. Lineage: Eukaryota; Viridiplantae; Streptophyta; Magnoliopsida; Lamiales; Pedaliaceae. The record is from RefSeq and is a predicted model, not a curated record.